ACUCAAAUGAAUAGACGGGGACCUGCACAAGCGGUGGAGCGUGUGGUUUAAUUCGAUACUAAGCGGAGAACCUUACCCAGGCUUGACAUCUCUGGAAGUCCCGAGAAACCGGGAUGUGCCGCAAGGAACCAGAUGACAGGUGCUGCACGGUUGUCGUCAGCUCGUGCUGUGAAGUGUCCCGUUCAGUCGGUUAACGAGCGCAACCCUUACCCUGUGUUAUACAUGUCACAGGGAACUGCCCCAGUUAAUGGGGAGGAAGGUGAGGAUGACGUCAAAUCAGCGUGGCUCUUACGCCUGGGGCCACACACGCGCUACAAUGGGUAGGACAAUGGGUUGCCAAGCCGCAAGGCGGAGCUAAUCCCACCAAACCUAGCCCCAGUUCGGAUUGGAGGCUGAAAUUCGCCUCCAUGAAGUCGGAAUCGCUAGUAACCGCCGGUCAGCUAUACGGCAGUGAAUACGUUCUCAGGUCUUGCACACACCGCCCGU
This 486-nucleotide ribosomal RNA is filed under the name uncultured bacterium. RNAcentral describes it as "partial 16S ribosomal RNA". It matches the Rfam family "Bacterial small subunit ribosomal RNA", at positions 899 to 1397 of the family's 1533-position model. The record is from RNAcentral.